Oreochromis aureus is the source of this 621-nucleotide long non-coding RNA. RefSeq lists it as uncharacterized. The transcript has 4 exons. The record is from RefSeq and is a predicted model, not a curated record. Lineage: Eukaryota; Metazoa; Chordata; Actinopteri; Cichliformes; Cichlidae.
ACCUCCAGACUACACUCUGAGGCCAUUCCUGAAAAACCUGGUAAGCCUAUUAGACUCAUUAGAGAUCAUGGACUGUCAUCCCAUCAUAGUGUGUGGUGAUUUUAAUGAGAAUGUUUUAUCCAGUGCAAACAAACCAAUCCUGGAGCUGUUUGAGUCUAGGGGAUAUGCACAGGUCAUCACUACCCCUACCACAGAGAAGAACACACUGCUUGACCUAAUUUUCAUUUCUCAGCCAGAGCGAUGUCUCCAUUCUGGAGUCAUGAAGACCUACUAUAGUUACCAUGACCCUGUAUACUGUGUAUUGUCCUGUGAUGAUUCAUGAUCUAGAUCUUUGACUACAAGCUGAGACACUCAGGACUGAACAGACUGCACAGUUUCUGUGACCGAGCCUCCAAAACAUCUUCUUUGAAACCACACAUGAUAGAAGGGCUUUAUAUUUGCAGCAGCACUACUAAAGUUGGCAGGAAUGUUGCUGCAGGAAAACAUCCCUGGAGAUCACCAUCAUUGCCAGACUGACUGUGCCUCCUCUGUGCAGUGUCAAGAUCCUCCCUAAAUGAGUGUUCCUCAGCUAUCCUGCUUCUGUGCUGCUUGCCACACAUCAAACACUGGCCGGAUGACAGG